GUUCCGUAGGUGAACCUGCGGAAGGAUCAUUAUUGUAUAACCGAGGUGCGAGGGCUGUCGCUGACCCAACAGGUCGUGCACGCCCGAGUGCCCUCACACACAUCCAUCUCACCCCUAUGUGCACCACCGCGUGGGUCCCCCUUUGGCUUGUUCGGAGGGGGGCUUACGUUUUCACACAAACUUUGUAUGCAGUGUAGAAUGUAUUUUUGUUUUUGCGAUCACGCAAUCAAUACAACUUUCAACAACGGAUCUCUUGGCUCUC
This 262-nucleotide unclassified non-coding RNA is filed under the name plant metagenome. RNAcentral describes it as "partial contains small subunit ribosomal RNA, internal transcribed spacer 1, and 5.8S ribosomal RNA". The record is from RNAcentral.